This 453-nucleotide ribosomal RNA is filed under the name Trypethelium platyleucostomum. RNAcentral describes it as "eukaryotic LSU rRNA". It matches the Rfam family "Eukaryotic large subunit ribosomal RNA", at positions 140 to 626 of the family's 3401-position model. Lineage: Eukaryota; Fungi; Ascomycota; Dothideomycetes; Trypetheliales; Trypetheliaceae. The record is from RNAcentral.
GAGUUGUACUUUGCAGAGGAUGUUUUGGCAACUCUUGAGGUAAAAGUCCUUUGGAACAGGGCGUCAUGGAGGGUGAUAAUCCCGUAUGGCCAACAAGAGACGCCGUGUAAAACUCCUUCGAAGAGUCGAGUUGUUUGGGAAUGCAGCUCAAAAUGGGAGGUAAAUUUCUUCCAAAGCUAAAUAUCUGCUAGAGACCGAUAGCGCACAAGUAGAGUGAUCGAAAGAUGAAAAGCACUUUGAAAAGAGAGUUAAAAAGCAUGUGAAAUUGUUGAAAGGGAAGCUUAUGCAAUCAGACAUGAUUGGUCAAGUUCAGCCGUAUGGUCAAUUCUUGACAGAAUCAGGUUAGCAUCAGUUUGGGUCGUUGGAUAAAAGCGCUGGGAAUGUAGCUCCUCGGAGUGUUAUAGCCCGGCGCAGAAUACGACGCAUCCAGACUGAGGUCCGCUUACAGGAUGC